UAACGGCGAGUGAAGCGGCAACAGCUCAAAUUUGAAAUCUGGCUCUUUUAGAGUCCGAGUUGUAAUUUGCAGAGGGCGCUUUGGCUUUGGCAGCGGUCCAAGUUCCUUGGAACAGGACGUCACAGAGGGUGAGAAUCCCGUACGUGGUCGCUGGCUAUUGCCGUGUAAAGCCCCUUCGACGAGUCGAGUUGUUUGGGAAUGCAGCUCUAAAUGGGAGGUACAUUUCUUCUAAAGCUAAAUAUUGGCCAGAGACCGAUAGCGCACAAGUAGAGUGAUCGAAAGAUGAAAAGCACUUUGGAAAGAGAGUCAAACAGCACGUGAAAUUGUUGAAAGGGAAGCGCUUGCAGCCAGACUUGCUUACAGUUGCUCAUCCGGGUUUCUACCCGGUGCACUCUUCUGUAGGCAGGCCAGCAUCAGUUUGGGCGGUAGGAUAAAGGUCUCUGUCACGUACCUCCUUUCGGGGAGGCCUUAUAGGGGAGACGACAUACUACCAGCCUGGACUGAGGUCCGCGCAUCUGCUAGGAUGCUGGCGUAAUGGCUGUAAGCGGCCCGUCUUGAAACACGGACCAAGGAGUCUAACAUCUAUGCGAGUGUUUGGGUGUCAAGCCCGAGCGCGUAAUGAAAGUGAACGGAGGUGGGAACCCGCAAGGGUGCACCAUCGACCGAUCCUGAUGUCUUCGGAAGGAUUUGAGUAAGAGCAUGGCUGUUGGGACCCGAAAGAUGGUGAACUAUGCUUGAAUAGGGUGAAGCCAGAGGAAACUCUGGUGGAGGCUCGCAGCGGUUCUGACGUGCAAAUCGAUCGUCAAAUUUGGGCAUAUGGGCGAAAGACUAAUCGAACUAUCUAGUAGCUGGUUCCUGCC
Molecule: ribosomal RNA, 860 nt
Filed under: Alternaria sp.
Lineage: Eukaryota; Fungi; Ascomycota; Dothideomycetes; Pleosporales; Pleosporaceae
Description: partial large subunit ribosomal RNA
Rfam family: Eukaryotic large subunit ribosomal RNA
Source: RNAcentral